GUCUCAGUUCGGAUUGAAGGCUGAAAUUCGCCUCCAUGAAGCUGGAAUUGCUAGUAAUGGCAGGUCAGCAUACUGCCGUGAAUACGUUCCCGGGCCUUGUACACACCGCCCGUCACACCAUGAGAGUUGGGAAUACCCGAAGCCUGUGAGCUAACUUUUAGAGGCAGCAGUCGAAGGUAGAAUCAAUGAUUGGGGUGAAGUCGUAACAAGGUAAC
Molecule: ribosomal RNA, 215 nt
Filed under: uncultured bacterium
Lineage: Bacteria
Description: partial 16S ribosomal RNA
Rfam family: Bacterial small subunit ribosomal RNA
Source: RNAcentral